This 253-nucleotide ribosomal RNA is filed under the name Fusicatenibacter saccharivorans. Its description in RNAcentral is "partial 16S ribosomal RNA". It matches the Rfam family "Bacterial small subunit ribosomal RNA", at positions 524 to 776 of the family's 1533-position model. The record is from RNAcentral. Lineage: Bacteria; Bacillati; Bacillota; Clostridia; Lachnospirales; Lachnospiraceae.
UACGUAGGGGGCAAGCGUUAUCCGGAUUUACUGGGUGUAAAGGGAGCGUAGACGGCAAGGCAAGUCUGAAGUGAAAGCCCAGUGCUUAACGCCGGGACUGCUUUGGAAACUGUUUGGCUGGAGUGCCGGAGAGGUAAGCGGAAUUCCUAGUGUAGCGGUGAAAUGCGUAGAUAUUAGGAAGAACACCAGUGGCGAAGGCGGCUUACUGGACGGUAACUGACGUUGAGGCUCGAAAGCGUGGGGAGCAAACAGG